This is a long non-coding RNA of Cornus florida, 764 nucleotides long. RefSeq lists it as uncharacterized. The record is from RefSeq and is a predicted model, not a curated record. NCBI's taxonomy places the organism in Eukaryota, Viridiplantae, Streptophyta, Magnoliopsida, Cornales, Cornaceae. The transcript is spliced from 2 exons.
UUUAAAACAAUGUGUUUGUGUGUAUAUAUAUCAAUGUUUAUUCAACAAGGUUAACCAAUGAAUUAAUGUUAACUGUAAAGCUUUGAAAUUGUUUGAUGUCUCAUCUAGUUCGGGCCUGGGCUUGUGGCGUUGUUUUCUACCAUUUAUAGACCCAUGGGCUUUCUUUGGACAGACUUCCUAUUUGUAUAGCUUUACAAGCUUAGAUCUAUAUAAAUCAUUCACCCUGGAAAGGAGCCGAAUUUUUCUUUUGCAGAGCUACAAUUUGGUGGCGAACAUUUUGUUGGCAAGCUAAAAAAAUUUCUUUCAGUAGCAAGCCAAAAAUUCCUUUCAACAACACCUCAGCACAUUAUCUUGACGACGAGAUACAAUUUUCCUGAUGCAACUCCUCGACGGAAGUCAAAUUUCUCUUUCAGCCACACGUCGACAGCAAACUGAAAUUUUUUUCUUUCAGCAAUACCUUGAAAAUGAGCAAAUUAUUUUUUUAGAGACACUUCGGCGACGAGGAAUUUUUCUUAACAGCUACUAUCUAGCGAUGUGCCGAAAUUUUCUUUUCCAACCACACCUUGGCGAUGAGCCAAAAAAUUCCUUUACAACCACACUUUGUUGACAGGCUAGAGCGCAAUGACAGGGUGCAAUGAGUACUUUUGAUGCUAUGAUGAGCACACUUUAUCAUUUUGAUAGCAAGCCAAGCAGAUAAUGCGAUGAGGACUUUUGAUAUCAUGCGACAAGCAAUUUACCAUCUUUACAAAAUUUUUUUUUUUUUU